This 497-nucleotide ribosomal RNA is filed under the name uncultured bacterium. RNAcentral's name for it is "partial 16S ribosomal RNA". It matches the Rfam family "Bacterial small subunit ribosomal RNA", at positions 28 to 507 of the family's 1533-position model. The record is from RNAcentral.
GAUGAACACUGGCGGCGUGCCUAAUACAUGCAAGUCGAGCGAACAGACGAGGAGCUUGCUCCUCUGACGUUAGCGGCGGACGGGUGAGUAACACGUGGAUAACCUACCUAUAAGACUGGGAUAACUUCGGGAAACCGGAGCUAAUACCGGAUAAUAUAUUGAACCGCAUGGUUCAAUAGUGAAAGACGGUUUUGCUGUCACUUAUAGAUGGAUCCGCGCCGCAUUAGCUAGUUGGUAAGGUAACGGCUUACCAAGGCAACGAUGCGUAGCCGACCUGAGAGGGUGAGCGGCCACACUGGAACGGAGACACGGUCCAGACUCCUACGGGAGGCAGCAGUAGGGAAUCUUCCGCAAUGGGCGAAAGCCUGACGGAGCAACGCCGCGUGAGUGAUGAAGGUCUUCGGAUCGUAAAACUCUGUUAUUAGGGAAGAACAAAUGUGUAAGUAACUAUGCACGUCUUGACGGUACCUAAUCAGAAAGCCACGGCUAACUACGUG